CCUACGGGAGGCUGCAGUGGGGAAUAUUGGACAAUGGGGGAAACCCUGAUCCAGCCAUGCCGCGUGUGUGAAGAAGGCCCUCGGGUUGUAAAGCACUUUCAGUGAGGAAGAACGCCUGGUGGUUAAUACCCAUCAGGAAAGACAUCACUCACAGAAGAAGCACCGGCUAACUCCGUGCCAGCAGCCGCGGUAAUACGGAGGGUGCGAGCGUUAAUCGGAAUUUCUGGGCGUAAAGCGCGCGUAGGUGGCUUGAUAAGCCGGUUGUGAAAGCCCCGGGCUCAACCUGGGAACGGCAUCCGGAACUGUCAAGCUAGAGUGCAGGAGAGGAAGGUAGAAUUCCCGGUGUAGCGGUGAAAUGCGUAGAGAUCGGGAGGAAUACCAGUGGCGAAGGCGGCCUUCUGGACUGACACUGACACUGAGGUGCGAAAGCGUGGGUAGCAAACAGGAUUAGAUACCCUGGUAGUC
This 465-nucleotide ribosomal RNA is filed under the name Vreelandella stevensii. Its description in RNAcentral is "partial 16S ribosomal RNA". It matches the Rfam family "Bacterial small subunit ribosomal RNA", at positions 338 to 795 of the family's 1533-position model. Lineage: Bacteria; Pseudomonadati; Pseudomonadota; Gammaproteobacteria; Oceanospirillales; Halomonadaceae. The record is from RNAcentral.